RNAcentral lists this ribosomal RNA (322 nucleotides) under uncultured eukaryote. RNAcentral describes it as "partial 18S ribosomal RNA". It matches the Rfam family "Eukaryotic small subunit ribosomal RNA", at positions 1470 to 1796 of the family's 1831-position model. The record is from RNAcentral.
CCCUUAGAUGUUCUGGGCCGCACGCGUGCUACACUGAGUGGAUCAGCGGGUCAGGUUGCGCGAAAGCGUUUCCUAAUCUUUAAAUCCGCUCGUGAUGGGGAUUGACGGUUGCAAUUUUCUGUCAUGAACGAGGAAUACCUUGUAAGCGCGGGUCAUCAUCCCGCGCUGAAUACGUCCCUGCCCUUUGUACACACCGCCCGUCGCUCCUACCGAUUGAGUGGUCCGGUGAGGCUUUGGGAUCUGAGCGGAAAGAGCGUUUCGCUGUUUCUGCUCGGGAAACUCAGUCGAACCUUAUCAUGUAGAGGAAGGAGAAGUCGUAACA